AGGAACUUAGGAUAAUUAGACCAAAAACCUUCAAAGUUUUAAGUAUGAGUUAAAAUCUCUUAGUUUCUG
Molecule: transfer RNA, 69 nt
Filed under: Limnonectes fujianensis (Fujian large-headed frog)
Lineage: Eukaryota; Metazoa; Chordata; Amphibia; Anura; Dicroglossidae
Description: tRNA-Trp
Rfam family: tRNA
About the family: Transfer RNA (tRNA) molecules are approximately 80 nucleotides in length. Their secondary structure includes four short double-helical elements and three loops (D, anti-codon, and T loops). Further hydrogen bonds mediate the characteristic L-shaped molecular structure. tRNAs have two regions of fundamental functional importance: the anti-codon, which is responsible for specific mRNA codon recognition, and the 3' end, to which the tRNAs corresponding amino acid is attached (by aminoacyl-tRNA synthetases). tRNAs cope with the degeneracy of the genetic code in two manners: having more than one tRNA (with a specific anti-codon) for a particular amino acid; and 'wobble' base-pairing, i.e. permitting non-standard base-pairing at the 3rd anti-codon position.
Source: RNAcentral